Non-coding RNA from Oryza sativa Japonica Group (Japanese rice), 4559 nucleotides. Lineage: Eukaryota; Viridiplantae; Streptophyta; Magnoliopsida; Poales; Poaceae. The record is from RefSeq and is a predicted model, not a curated record.
CUUUUUUGGGCCACACGCCCACGCACGAUCCAAUCCGCGGGCAGAGGAUACCGGCGCGGCGGCGCGGCGGGCCGGCGGCGGCGGGGGAAGGAUCUCGGCCGGCAAACCGCGCGGCCGUUCUACUCCUCCGGGAAUAUGGAGCCGAAGCGCCCAGGUCAGCUUCGUCACCUCCUCCCCACCCCCGCUGCCGCGGCGGUGGCCCCCGCUCGCGGAUGCCGCGUUGCGGCGUCAUCACGGCAUCACGCCGGACUCCGGCCUCUCCUGCCGUACGCCGACCACCUCCCAUCUCCCUUGGUGAGGAAGGAAAAAGACUCAGGCAGUCAGACUGAACAAUGAGCUUAUGAGAAUGCUAGAAAUCGACGAACUCAAGACAGUUUUUGGGAUCCAUCACAAAGUGUUCAUCCCUAUCCUGGAUACAUUUGAUUCGAAGCAUCUAAACACGGUGAACUGUUAUGCAACGCCACGAGCAGCUGAACUGGGGAACUGAAUUUGGCUGCUGGCUUUAGAUCUCCCCGUCCCAGAAAUCCUCCAGCGACUUGUAAAAGCUCGUCGGAUGGGUCAAGAAUUCGUACUUGAAAAGCCUAACCUGCAUGUUGCAAACAGAACGUACAGCUCAGGAAAAAUCUUUAGAGUAUCAGGCUUUCAGCAAGUAAUUUGUCAAAAUAUGGAGCCAUGCCUGUUGAAUCUCGUAGAACUUUGCCAUCAGUUCUUCAGGGAUGCACCAGUCAAAUAUGUCAAUGUUCUCCCUUGUCCACACCUCAUUGUCGCUCUUUGGGAGCACGCUCUGUCCCAUCUGAAUACCCCAGCGAAGAGCAACCUGAGCAGGACUUUUCUGCAGCUUCUUGGCAAUGGAAAUCACAGUAGGAUGGCUCAGAACGUUUGGUCCAUCGUUCCCUGGUGAUCCGGGUGAACCUAAUGGUGCAUAUGCCUGCAAGAAUAGCAUGAAAACAAAUCAGAGUGAAGUAAAUGAUUAAUAUGCUGAGUUGCUGACCAAAGUUGGAAAGAAAUGGAAAGUAAACAGUGAGAGGAUCAUAGGAACGUCUUAAUACAGUUCGAACUUACAGAAAGAUGAACGCCCUUGGAUUGGCAGAGCUUCCGGAGCUUGCCUUGCUGCCAAACCGGAUGGCACUCCACCUGGUUGACCGCUGGAGGCACGCGAGCAACAUUGAGCAAGUCCUCCAGCUUCUUGCAUGAAAAAUUGCUCACGCCAAUGGCACGAGCUUUGCCUGAAUCAUACAACUUCUCCAUUGCUUGCCAUGUAGCUGGGAUAUCAGGCUUGAGGUAAUUUUCCACACUCAAUUUAGUACCUUUCUUGGCACGAACUGGACCGUGGACCUGUGACGUGAUAAAUUGUAGGAGAGAUUAAAGAUUGUCACAAUGGAUUAGGAAUUCCUGUUACAAAGAGUAAGAAGAACCCAUGGCACAAAUGCAAAUACUAUUUAUAACUGAAUAGUUUUCUUUUUACAAGAAGUAUAGGCUUAGGAUAUUUUACUAGGUACAAAUCUAAGUAGUAAAGCUGCAGAUCCUUUAAUGUGGUAUUAAUCGCCUCUGGCACAUCUUCUGGAGCAUGGUGUGUGCACCUGAAAAUUUUGGAACAUUUUCUUACAGUGAAUUGACUUCAUUAAUCGUUUUAUAUAAGAAAAAAUAUGCAAUACGAAAGGUAGUAUAGUUUUACAACCUACCACAGUUUAGAUGUGAUGAAUAAAUCUUCACGCUUAACCGCACCUUCGUCAAAUAAUUUCUUCAGUGCCAAACCAACCUCCAAAAGCGGACGCAACUUUUGCCUACUUUUAACUCUAGAGGGAUGAGUAUUUGACAGUGAAGAAAUGUAGUUGAAUCACUCUUAAAACCUUAAACUGCAAGGCUCUGACACCAACUGCGUGAUAUUACUUUGUCAUUCUUAGUGCAACAUUUGUCAAACUAUUAUUGGAAUCAACCGCAAACGGUGUAUAAGAAAUAUAAAGUUACUACGUAUUUCAGAUAUCCUUGCAUUUCAGUUUAAGCUUAUAUAAAAUAGAAGCAUGAAGGUUUCAGGAGCAACUUACCUCUUUCUGAUUACCAUACUGUGGAGAACAGUCAAUAUGACGAUAUCCAACCUGCACCAGUACAAGAAGAUAACAUUUACAUCCAAACAGAGGUAAGGACCAGAUGAGAACUGUUCAUAUUUUCUUCAAAAGAAGUUGAAAAAUGUCAUCAUUUCAGGUAUUAAUUAACCUUUUUUGGGUUAACUGAGCAAAUGAAUGAACAGAAAAAUCCAGUCGAUCGACAUGAUUGUUAUACGCAGGUGGGUGCAGCAUGAGUAACAACGAAAUAGAAGAUAAUAAGACUAUCGCCUAUAUUGAUUGUUAAUCAUCAAGAAGAAAUGAAAAGACCUGGACAGCAGCGCGGAUGGCAUCUUGAACAGCACCUGGUGAAAUUUGCCAGGUGCCAAGACCGACUGAUGGGAUCGCCGCGUUGGUGUUUAGGACAAAGGAUUCAGCCAUAUUCACUCCAAAGAUCAAACUGUCCUUGGUUUCCAAGCUUCCUCUUCUUGUGUCGAUGGAAUCCAACAGAGAGCGAACUUGAGCUUACCUGGUGUCUGAGCAAGAAGAUCUGAGCACUAAUGGUAGGUAGCCAAGGUAUGCAGCGGUUGAAAUGAGCCCGGUGAUCACCAGUAGUAUACUCUAAAAUAAGAGCUUCCAGAAUCCAUUUAAUAAUACAUAAUUGACCACUCUAGAUGAGACUUAGAGAAACCUGCAACUGACGAAGCUAAUGCAAUUUGAAAUAGAGAAAUCGCAUCUUGGCAAUUGAUCUGCCAAAGAGAAGGCAAUAGGCAAGCAUCACAGCUCAAGUAAUUUAUUUUAAGGGUGAGUCAAGUCAAUUUAUAUUUCAGAAAGACUUUCGAAACAAGUUUAACUAGAAAUAUUAGCUGCUGAAGUCAUACAACAAAAUCAAGAUGCUGACUAACUACUUACUGGCAGCAUUUAAAAAUCAUUGUACACUUGAGAGAAAACAUCUUAUGUCACUGAAAUUUUACUUGUCCCAAAUAUGCUACUCAUAUCGCAAACUCAUGCCCAUUUAUGCCAUCAGAGAUGCAGCGGCCAAGUUAUCUAUUAUCUAGUAAACACUUAUGCCAUCAGGUGACAAUUCUAACACUGCCAAUGCUUCUUCCCCAAUGAACUCGCCUUCACUUGUUCAAUGGCAGUGGCGGGCAGGUUGUGCUGCUGGUGCGGGGUCCGUGAGCUGCUGGACACUGCCCGGUGAUGUCCUGUCCCCGGCAGGUGAGGGGCCUGGCUAGCUGGUACCGCAGAAGAUGGUGAGAGGCUGAGACCUCAGAUCAGAGUGGCGAACUGGAGUGCUGACCUGAUGCCAUCGCCUGGCGGGGACUCGUUGAGGUUACUAAGGAACUGAGCGAGUGAGCAGAAGAAAGCAGACGUCAAACUACAUCCAAAAUCUGUGAUAAAGCCUUCUUUUAAACAAAUGUCCAAAUUACUGAUAAUUUUGCCGGUAAAGAUUCUGGAUUCCGGUUCUUGUAAAAAUACACGCCAGUACCAGCAAAAUGGUAGCUGUAGACUUAAACUCCUUUUAUUCAUUCAUUGAUUAACAUUUCCCCACUUUAUUUGCAGCAAUGGCAGUUUCCAGUUUUUCACCCACACGAAGAAAGCAAACUUCAGUCCAGCCAAGUCGAUCAUUAGAUUUCGCCAUCCCAAAGCUCUUCGAUUGAUUUGUAGACGCCUUCCGGGUGAGUCCAGAAUUCUCCACGGAUCAGCUUCAUCUGCAAAUCAAAAUCGCCAUUCAUGAGAACCAUCACCAAUUCACCAUCUUGCCCAAAAAAAAAAGACCCAACAAGAACAGAGUUUCAGAGCGUCUGCUGCUGAAGCUGACUCCGGCCUUGCCUGCUCGAUUUCAGAGAGCUUGAUGAACAGGUCCUCCGGGAUGGACCAGUCAUAGACGUCAAUGUUCUCCUUGAUCCUCUCCUCGUGGGUGCUCUUCGGGAGCACGCUGUGCCCCAUCUGAAUCCCCCACCGUAGAGCCACCUGCGCCGGCGUCUUCCCCAGCUUCUCCGCCGUGGAGACGACCACCGGGUGCGCGAGCACAUUGCCCACCGCUUUCACCGACGCUGUCCCCGGCGAGCCCAACGGCGAGUACGCCUGCAGUGACGCAUGACAAAGAAGAAGAUUUGAAGCACAUCACUAGGAUAAUGCACUGAAGGAGAAGUUCAGAGUUGGGUGAUAUCCUGUUCAGAAUAGCUUCAGCUGUUCAGCAUCAGGCAGGAUAUCCUAUUCAACCAAAAUCCCGGAGGGAGUAUCUGAGAAUAAAGGGAGCGGUAGUUUGCAGUGCUGAGCAACAUACUGAGAGGUGGAUUCCUUUGGAGGUGCAGAACUUGCGGAGCUUGGUCUGCUGCCACACCGGGUGGCACUCCACCUGGUCGACGGCCGGCGGCACGCGUGCGACGGCGAGCAGGUCCUCCAGCUUCUUGCUCGAGAAGUUGCUGACGCCGAUGGCGCGAGCCUUGCCGGAGUCGUGGAGCUUCUCCAUCGCCGCCCACGUCGCCGGGAUAUCGGUCGGGAGGACGUUUU